UACAGAGGUCCCGAGCGUUGUUCGGAUUCAUUGGGCGUAAAGGGUGCGUAGGUGGCGCUGUAAGUGGGGUGUGAAAUCCCGGGGCUUAACCCCGGGACUGCAUUCCAUACUGCGGUGCUUGAGGACUGGAGAGGAGACUGGAAUUUACGGUGUAGCAGUGAAAUGCGUAGAGAUCGUAAGGAAGACCAGUGGCGAAGGCGAGUCUCUGGACAGUAACUGACGCUGAAGCACGAAGGCCAGGGGAGCAAACGGG
Molecule: ribosomal RNA, 253 nt
Filed under: uncultured bacterium
Lineage: Bacteria
Description: partial 16S ribosomal RNA
Rfam family: Bacterial small subunit ribosomal RNA
Source: RNAcentral